Molecule: long non-coding RNA, 1313 nt
Filed under: Mytilus galloprovincialis (Mediterranean mussel)
Lineage: Eukaryota; Metazoa; Mollusca; Bivalvia; Mytilida; Mytilidae
Source: RNAcentral
UAAUGUUGAAAUAACUUUAUUAAAACUUCAAGAUACACGCUUGAAACAUCGGUAAUAUAAACUUUAUUAAAUACUAGUAGAUUACAUAAUGUUAACUGCUACUAAAGAAGUUCAGGUUCGUUAUCAAGGAUUUUUCAGAAUGUUUUUUGCCACAUAAUAUGGAAGCCGGAAAUAUUGUGGAGCGUAGCUUUUUUGGAGGGGACAAUUUUAUGUUAACCAAUGAUAUAUUAAAGGUGGGCAACGUCCCCCUUGUAUCCACCCCUGUGAUAUGAUUUUACUGACCCAAACAGUCUUUAAGUAACGACCAGUCGAGAAAGGGAGAUUAUUUAAUUCCAUCCAUGUGGUUCGUUUGUGAUAUUUUCCUCAUACAUAUCCUAUGCAUGCAUUUCUUUUGUAGCGAAUUUUACGUUGUUUUGCAGUGUUUACUGUACAAGUUACUGGAAAAUACGCCAAAGAAAUAAAUAUUUACCGAAUGGACUUGAUAUUUUCGGGGUAAAGACGGAUACGUAAUUCACUGUUGAGAUAUGCGACAUUUAUUUGUAAAAUUUCAUAUACAUUAUCUUUACCAGUUAGAUAUUUUUAGUCCUAAGGAAGUAUCAAAGUGAAGGAAAAAUAAAUUACAUAAUUUACUGACAAUUCUGUGCGGGAUUCAGUUAUCAUAAAAUCAAUAACUAUCAUGGUACGCAGUUUAAUAAGAUCUGUCAAAUUUUACAUUAAAGAAUCACUUGCACAAUAUCUGUACUACAUGUAAGUACAAUCGCAAGGCAAUCUACAAUUAAUUCCAGGGGUUCCUAAAAUUUGAAUCAAUGCCCCACCUCCCCGCACCCAAUCAGGAAAUUUAAAAUAAUAAGAAUAAUAAUUAGCGGUGUAAAAUAAAAUGUUUAAACCUAAAAAUGCUUUAAUACUUCACUAAACUAUGUUUUGGGUCCAUUUUGAAUAGUACAUCCCUGAUAUAGUAUAUACAAUGUGUAAAUUUUAUAGCAAUAUAUAUAUAACAAAAUAAAAUAAAACAUCAAUCUAUGUAAAACGUGUAAAUAAAUAUACAACUUUUCCUGUCUCGUUUUCAAAUUUUUCAUUCAAUCGCUCGAUACGUCUUUAUAGUUUUUUUUCCAAUACAGUGCACUGUUUCCGCUAAAUAUUCUCAUAUACGAAAAUAAGAUAAAUGCAAUUUGCCCUAUGCAUUUUCUCCCUUGUAUAUUGCAAUGACUUCCUUUUAAGGCAUGAUACAUUCUUGCCCUAGUCUACGUGCAUUUGCCGGACAGCUAGGAACACAUCUAUCACCGAAUUGGAAAUACUUGCACAUCUGAAAAAAG